Molecule: ribosomal RNA, 240 nt
Filed under: uncultured bacterium
Lineage: Bacteria
Description: partial 16S ribosomal RNA
Rfam family: Bacterial small subunit ribosomal RNA
Source: RNAcentral
GAUCCUGGCUCAGGAUGAACGCUCGCGGCGUGCCUAAUACGUGCAAGUCGAACGCGAGCACUUGUGCUCGAGUGGCGAACGGGUGAGUAAUACAUAAGUAACCUGCCCUAGACAGGGGGAUAACUAUUGGAAACGAUAGCUAAGACCGCAUAGGUACGGACACUGCAUGGUGACCGUAUUAAAAGUGCCUCAAAGCACUGGUAGAGGAUGGACUUAUGGCGCAUUAGCUGGUUGGCGGGG